AGUCCUACGGGAGGCAGCAGUGGGGAAUAUUGCACAAUGGGGGAAACCCUGAUGCAGCAACGCCGCGUGAGUGAUGACGGCCUUCGGGUUGUAAAGCUCUGUCUUCAGGGACGAUAAUGACGGUACCUGAGGAGGAAGCCACGGCUAACUACGGGCCAGCAGACGCGGUAAUACGUAGGGGGCGAGCGUUGUCCGGAUUUACUGGGCGUAAAGGGAGCGUAGGAGGACUUUUAAGUGAGAUGUGAAAUACUCGGGCUCAACUUGAGUGCUGCAUUUCAAACUGGAAGACUAGAGUGCAGGGGAGG
This 305-nucleotide ribosomal RNA is filed under the name uncultured bacterium. Its description in RNAcentral is "bacterial SSU rRNA". It matches the Rfam family "Bacterial small subunit ribosomal RNA", at positions 335 to 657 of the family's 1533-position model. The record is from RNAcentral.